GCGAAUCUUACUUAGCGUUUUUUUUGUAUGCAUUUGUUACAAUCUGUGUCUCAAAUAGAUAUUUUCAUUUUGUAACCAAUUGGUUGUAAUUAGAUAAUUUUGUUUGUUGGUCAAGACCAUAAAAUUGAUUUCUAUUGGCUGCAUUAUUCGUUAUUUUUGGGGAGUUCAUCACAUGACAGUUGUGAAUCUCGCAAUUUGUCUAACCUUUACGCCCUAAUUAAAAAAAAAAAAAAAAUCCGGCUACCUGAACGUAGCUAUUGCUAAAUUUAGAUAUGGUACGUAGUUGAAAAACCGCGUGAUUAUUAGUCGUCUAUUUUAGGUUAAAAGGAUCUUGUUACAUAAUUAAAGAAUCUAAUGUACUGUUUGACACUAAUAGAACUUGCUUGUAGUCCGG
RNAcentral lists this long non-coding RNA (394 nucleotides) under Capsella rubella. RNAcentral describes it as "long non-coding RNA (CRUB_LNC001209)". Lineage: Eukaryota; Viridiplantae; Streptophyta; Magnoliopsida; Brassicales; Brassicaceae. The record is from RNAcentral.